Molecule: microRNA precursor, 169 nt
Filed under: Gossypium raimondii (Peruvian cotton)
Lineage: Eukaryota; Viridiplantae; Streptophyta; Magnoliopsida; Malvales; Malvaceae
Description: miR8755 stem-loop (gra-MIR8755)
Source: miRBase by way of RNAcentral
CGCUUUUACAUGGACGCGCUUUGCUGACGUGGCAUAACGCUCCCUCAGGGACGCAUUUUAGCUCGUAUUUUUCUAGUGUUAGGGUUUUUUGCAUGUUUAGUGCUUAGGAUUUAUGAGUUUAGGGUUUAAGAUUUUGCCACGUCAGCUAAGCGCGUCCACAUCAACGCGU